AUGUACUCCGAAACCUCCACCGAUGGGCUGAACCAGGUGCCUUUCUCACUUGAGGACCCGGAUUACAAGGGCCUUGAGCUAGAUCUGAUGGUGUUCUGCGAGAAGCAUGGGAAGUCAUCAGAGAGGCUUGUUGCGUUUGAAGGAACAAUGACUGGGAGAAGGAUCUCUUGGCCACAUGUGGCAAGGUUUAAUACUAAUCUUGAUGGUAGAGGGAGCGUGCGAUGUUUGAUCACAUCAAACUUGGAAAUACUUCCAAUACAUAUUGAAGGUCGGAAUUGUGGGUUUGUUCAGUGGGUUGAUGAGCAGUGGCUCCCAACAAUGGAGAAUGCAUUGUUGAAGCUUUGGUCAAUGGUUGAAGAGAGCAAGUGUGCUAGGGUGAAUGAUAAUCUUGAAAGUGCUUUAACUAUUCACCAUUUGACAAAAGAAAAGAACAAGCUGGAUGCAGACUAUGACAAGUUGGUGAAAGAUGUGCAUCAACUUGUGGAUAUCCAGGCUGAUAGGGUUGUGGAUUUCAGUUAUCUGCAGUCCAACCUCACAUAUCAGCAGGAAUGCAGAGCUGAGUUGAUUGCUGGUAUGAAGGCAGAAAUGGCAAAGAAAGAUGCAGCUGCAGAGAAGGUUCAACAGAAGUAUGAAAUCCUGUGCAACCUGACAAGUGCUCAAGCAACUGUCAUCCAAAACCUGAAGUUGAAGAAUAUG
This 696-nucleotide ribosomal RNA is filed under the name Triticum aestivum (bread wheat). RNAcentral describes it as "partial small subunit ribosomal RNA". The record is from RNAcentral. Lineage: Eukaryota; Viridiplantae; Streptophyta; Magnoliopsida; Poales; Poaceae.